UAGUAUUCAAUUGUCAGAGGUGAAAUUCUUGGAUUUAUUGAAGACUAACUACUGCGAAAGCAUUUGCCAAGGAUGUUUUCAUUAAUCAAGAACGAAAGUUAGGGGAUCGAAGACGAUCAGAUACCGUCGUAGUCUUAACCAUAAACUAUGCCGACUAGGAAUCGGAUGAUGUUAAUUUUUUAAUGACUCA
This 190-nucleotide ribosomal RNA is filed under the name uncultured fungus. RNAcentral's name for it is "partial 18S ribosomal RNA". It matches the Rfam family "Eukaryotic small subunit ribosomal RNA", at positions 892 to 1078 of the family's 1831-position model. Lineage: Eukaryota; Fungi. The record is from RNAcentral.